Molecule: unclassified non-coding RNA, 336 nt
Filed under: soil metagenome
Description: partial contains 5.8S ribosomal RNA, internal transcribed spacer 2, and large subunit ribosomal RNA
Rfam family: 5.8S ribosomal RNA (bases 1-120)
Source: RNAcentral
GAUGAAGAACGCAGCGAAAUGCGAUAAGUAGUGUGAAUUGCAGAAUUCAGUGAAUCAUCGAAUCUUUGAACGCACAUUGCGCCCCUUGGUAUUCCAUGGGGCAUGCCUGUUCGAGCGUCAUUUGUACCUUCAAGCAUUGCUUGGUGUUGGGUGUUUGUCUCGCCUUUGCGUGUAGACUCGCCUUAAAAUAAUUGGCAGCCGGCGUAUUGAUUUCGGAGCGCAGUACAUCUCGCGCUUUGCACUCAUAACGACAGCGUCCAAAAGUACAUUUUACACUCUUGACCUCGGAUCAGGUAGGGAUACCCGCUGAACUUAAGCAUAUCAAUAAGCGGAGGA